This 240-nucleotide non-coding RNA is filed under the name Comamonas testosteroni. The record is from RNAcentral. Lineage: Bacteria; Pseudomonadati; Pseudomonadota; Betaproteobacteria; Burkholderiales; Comamonadaceae.
UAAGAUCGCGCCACCACAGGUGCCUCAUGGCGUGCUUUGGCACGCGGAGGUGAAACGAGAAGCAGGUGAAUGGAAUCCCCAUCAAUCCUGCACUGCACCCGCAACGGUAAUCAGAGAUAUGGAGAUGCACGCUCUGGCCCACGGCCAUGGCCGCCACUGCGAAAGCGGGAAGGCGCAUCGACAUGCCACCCUCAGGUGGGCUCUGUAAGUCCGGAGACCGGCCUGGUGUGUACAAGGCGC